CUCCUCUCCUUGUGGGGGAGGGUGGGGGACAAGGCCAAGGUGCCAUGGGGGUUAAGCCAUCUUCUGCAGCGACGUGGAAGAUGGCAGGCAGACAGCGGGCGGCCUCGAUUAGUGUCUAGGUGUCUAGCAGCUGGCUUAGAACUGGUGCGGACCAGGGGAAUCUGACUGUUUAAUUAAAACAAAGCAUCGCGAAGGCCUGCAGCGGGUGUUGACACAAUGUGAUUUCUGCCCAGUGCUCUGAAUGUCAAAGUGAAAAAAUUCAAUGAAGCGUGGGUAAAUGGUGGGAGUAACUAUGACUCUUAAAAUGAAACCCUUAAAAUGAAAAAUAAAGUUCAU
Molecule: non-coding RNA, 336 nt
Filed under: Lepisosteus oculatus (spotted gar)
Lineage: Eukaryota; Metazoa; Chordata; Actinopteri; Semionotiformes; Lepisosteidae
Description: Eukaryotic large subunit ribosomal RNA
Rfam family: Eukaryotic large subunit ribosomal RNA
Source: Rfam by way of RNAcentral